This 497-nucleotide ribosomal RNA is filed under the name uncultured bacterium. RNAcentral describes it as "partial 16S ribosomal RNA". It matches the Rfam family "Bacterial small subunit ribosomal RNA", at positions 28 to 507 of the family's 1533-position model. The record is from RNAcentral.
GAUGAACGCUGGCGGCGUGCCUAAUACAUGCAAGUCGAGCGAACAGAUAAGGAGCUUGCUCCUUUGACGUUAGCGGCGGACGGGUGAGUAACACGUGGGUAACCUACCUAUAAGACUGGAAUAACUCCGGGAAACCGGGGCUAAUGCCGGAUAACAUUUAGAACCGCAUGGUUCUAAGGUGAAAGAUGGUUUUGCUAUCACUUAUAGAUGGACCCGCGCCGUAUUAGCUAGUUGGUAAGGUAACGGCUUACCAAGGCAACGAUACGUAGCCGACCUGAGAGGGUGAUCGGCCACACUGGAACUGAGACACGGUCCAGACUCCUACGGGAGGCAGCAGUAGGGAAUCUUCCGCAAUGGGCGAAAGCCUGACGGAGCAACGCUGCGUGAGUGAUGAAGGUCUUCGGAUCGUAAAACUCUGUUAUUAGGGAAGAACAAAUGUGUAAGUAACUGUGCACGUCUUGACGGUACCUAAUCAGAAAGCCACGGCUAACUACGUG